This is a long non-coding RNA of Triticum dicoccoides, 725 nucleotides long. RefSeq lists it as uncharacterized. The transcript has 2 exons. The record is from RefSeq and is a predicted model, not a curated record. NCBI's taxonomy places the organism in Eukaryota, Viridiplantae, Streptophyta, Magnoliopsida, Poales, Poaceae.
UUCAAUGGUGUUGUUUAAAUGUGAAUGGGUUAAUGUGUUCUCAGAAACAGGAAUGAAAAAAGACAAGUACGGUUACACACUUGUCAACUUCUCACAUCUAAUACACAAAGGAGAAAAGAUUGAGCAUGAGCCUUUUAUUUUCCCUAACCAGGCGAAUCAAGUGUUCUAUGUGGAAGAUGAAUUGAAUCCAGGUUGGUCUGUGGUAAUGAAGUUGCCAAAGCCUUGAGAUGUAUAUGACUUCGGCAACUUGGAAUGGGAAGCGCAGACAGAAAAUGAGCCAUUCCAUGUUUCACGCUUGGAGAGAGAGUUUGAAAAGAAAGAACAAUGAACAACAUUGGGUUAGAACAGACGUUGAGGGGACAAUAGUGGAUGCUAAUAAUGCUUCGAGAAAUGAAGAAUAGUUGAGGUUCAGACUACAUGCUACAUGGAGGCAUGGAGGGGGUGGUCGGUUGUGUGCUUUGUGUUGGUACAAAACAGCCUACUCUUUUCUGCUUGCUGGCUUUCUGCUGACUACUUGACCAACUUGCUUGGUGAUAUACUGCUGUGUGAGACCAUGUGUUGGUCAAAACUUAGUAUACUCUUAUAUUUAUGCUUGGUAAUUCGGUCAGCUGCGACACCACGUGCUUGUUUGGAACAUCAUUUUGUACUUUGGUCAACAACAGUUCAGAAUUGAGAUACACGCAGCUUGUUUGGAACUUUAUUUUGUAUACUUUGUUAACAGUUCA